This 253-nucleotide ribosomal RNA is filed under the name uncultured bacterium. RNAcentral describes it as "partial 16S ribosomal RNA". It matches the Rfam family "Bacterial small subunit ribosomal RNA", at positions 524 to 776 of the family's 1533-position model. The record is from RNAcentral.
UACGGGGGGGGCAAGCGUUGUUCGGAAUUACUGGGCGUAAAGGGCUCGUAGGCGGCCAACUAAGUCAGACGUGAAAUCCCUCGGCUUAACCGGGGAACUGCGUCUGAUACUGGAUGGCUUGAGAUUGGGAGAGGGAUGCGGAAUUCCAGGUGUAGCGGUGAAAUGCGUAGAUAUCUGGAGGAACACCGGUGGCGAAGGCGGCAUCCUGGACCGAGAUUGACGCUGAGGCGCGAAAGCCAGGGGAGCAAACGGG